RNAcentral lists this ribosomal RNA (252 nucleotides) under uncultured bacterium. Its description in RNAcentral is "partial 16S ribosomal RNA". It matches the Rfam family "Bacterial small subunit ribosomal RNA", at positions 524 to 776 of the family's 1533-position model. The record is from RNAcentral.
UACGAAGGGGACUAGCGUUGUUCGGAAUUACUGGGCGUAAGCGCUCGUAGGCGGAAUUGUCAGUCAGAGGUGAAAUCCCGGGGCUCAACCUCGGAACUGCCUUUGAUACAGCAAUUCUCGAGUCCGAUAGAGGUGAGUGGAAUUCCUAGUGUAGAGGUGAAAUUCGUAGAUAUUAGGAAGAUCACCGGUGGCGAAGGCGGCUCACUGGAUCGGUACAGACGCUGAGGUGCGAAAGCGUGGGGAGCAAACGGG